RNAcentral lists this ribosomal RNA (370 nucleotides) under uncultured eukaryote. RNAcentral's name for it is "partial 18S ribosomal RNA". It matches the Rfam family "Eukaryotic small subunit ribosomal RNA", at positions 592 to 976 of the family's 1831-position model. The record is from RNAcentral.
CAAUAGCGUAUAUUAAAGUUGUUGCAGUUAAAAAGCUCGUAGUUGGACCUUGGACCUGGGCAGGCGGUCCGCCUCACGGCGUGUACUGUCUUGCUGGGUCUUUCCUCUUGGUGAUCUGUUGUUUCGGCAGCAGGGAACCAGGACUUUUACUUUGAAAAAAUUAGAGUGUUCAAAGCAGGCUCGACGCCGGAAUAUAUUAGCAUGGAAUAAUAAAAUAGGACGUGCGGUUCUAUUUUGUUGGUUUUUGGAAUCGCCGUAAUGAUUAAUAGGGACAGUCGGGGGCAUUAGUACUCACAUGCUAGAGGUGAAAUUCUUGGAUUUUGUGAAGACUAACUUCUGCGAAAGCAUUUGCCAAGGAUGUUUUCAUUAA